CGCGGCCUAUCAGCUUGUUGGUGGGGUAAUGGCCUACCAAGGCAACGACGGGUAGCUGGCGUGAGAGCGUGGCCAGCCACACUGGGACUGAGAUACGGCCCAGACUCCUACGGGAGGCAGCAGUGGGGAAUCUUGCACAAUGGGCGAAAGCCUGAUGCAGCGACGCCGCGUGAGGGAUGAAGGCCCUAGGGUUGUAAACCUCUUUCAGCAGGGACGAAGCGAAAGUGACGGUACCUGCAGAAGAAGCCCCGGCUAACUACGUGCCAGCAGCCGCGGUAAUACGUAGGGGGCGAGCGUUGUCCGGAUUUAUUGGGCGUAAAGAGCGCGUAGGUGGUUCGUAAAGUCGGAAGUGAAAUUCCAGGGCUCAACCCUGGGACGCCUUUCGAUACUUGCGGACUAGAGCACGGUAGGGGGAUCUGGAAUUCCUGGUGUAGCGGUGAAAUGCGCAGAUAUCAGGAGGAACACCGGUGGCGAAGGCGGGAUCCUGGGCCGUUGCUGACACUGAGGCGCGAAAGCUGGGGGAGCGAACAGGAUUAGAUACCCUGGUAGUCCCAGCCGUAAACGAUGGGUGCUAGGUGUGGGAGGCUAUCGACGUCUUCCGUGCCGCAGCCAACGCAUUAAGCACCCCGCCUGGGGAGUACGG
Molecule: ribosomal RNA, 643 nt
Filed under: uncultured Actinomycetes bacterium
Lineage: Bacteria; Bacillati; Actinomycetota; Actinomycetes
Description: bacterial SSU rRNA
Rfam family: Bacterial small subunit ribosomal RNA
Source: RNAcentral